Centruroides sculpturatus (bark scorpion) is the source of this 804-nucleotide long non-coding RNA. RefSeq lists it as uncharacterized. The transcript is spliced from 5 exons. The record is from RefSeq and is a predicted model, not a curated record. NCBI's taxonomy places the organism in Eukaryota, Metazoa, Arthropoda, Arachnida, Scorpiones, Buthidae.
GCUACUGGAAAAUUGUUUAGAAGGUUAUACAAAGAAGAUUUGGAGUUAUUGGAGUAAUGAAGAUUUAGAAUUGCUCUUGAUGAUUGUGUUUACGUCACUUACAACAGAAAGAAUACGAAGAGUUGCAUCAAGUAGCUACCCUCUACUCAUUGGAUCUUAACAGAGAUGGAGAUAAUACAAUUCUUAUUAAAACAAGGCAUACAACUCAAGCUAUAAAUAUUGAUCCUGCAGUAAGUAGGUCAUUUGUAGGAGAUAUUAAAAGAAGACGGAGGACUCCUCCUGUUGGGCCAGUUGUUCAAGGUUUUGUUGGUGAAACAUCAGGGCCAAUUCCAGAAUCAAAUCUUGGAAAUAUAAUGUUGAAAAAUAUGGGUUGGGAACCAGGAAGCGGAUUAGGUAAAGACGGACAAGGGAUUCAAAUGCCGCUUACUGUAUAUAUUCGAUCUAAACAUUACGGACUGGGAUACGGCUCAUCCGGACAAUCGAUAACGUUAACACCUCCUCCUCCACCUCCACCUUCUCCGCAACCAAAUUCCAGCGGCGACACCAUUCCCGAAUUCUUGGAGAUUGCAAUGCCAAAUUCACCUAACGAUACAGAAGUGUUCCAUCUUAACGAAAAUCUCGAAAAUGAGAACAUUGGAGAUUGACAACCGUUACACUAAUAAACAUGCAAAUCUACUUGGAUUAUUUUCAUCAGUACUUUGCUUGAUAAUUGAUAUCUAUUUUUGCAAAGAAGUGUGCAUGUUAUAAUUUACAGACUGUAUUCUAGGACAAGAUAAGUGACCCAGGAAUUUCAAAAUGAAAAAA